UACGGAACGGUCGUCCCGUACGGUUGGGGGAUAGCCCGGCGAAAGCCGGAUUAAUACCGCAUAUGCUCUACGGAGGAAAGUGGGGGACUUGGCAACAGGCCUCACGCUAUGGGAGCGGCCGAUGUCCGAUUAGCUUGUUGGCGGGGUAAUGGCCCACCAAGGCUACGAUCCAUAGCUGGUCUGAGAGGAUGAUCAGCCACACUGGGACUGAGACACGGCCCAG
Molecule: ribosomal RNA, 223 nt
Filed under: uncultured bacterium
Lineage: Bacteria
Description: partial 16S ribosomal RNA
Rfam family: Bacterial small subunit ribosomal RNA
Source: RNAcentral